UGACGGCGACCGGCGCACGGGUGAGUAACGCGUAUGCAACUUACCUAUCAGAGGGGGAUAGCCCGGCGAAAGUCGGAUUAAUACCCCAUAAAACAGGGGUCCCGCAUGGGAAUAUUUGUUAAAGAUUCAUCGCUGAUAGAUAGGCAUGCGUUUCAUUAGGCAGUUGGCGGGGUAACGGCCCACCAAACCGACGAUGGAUAGGGGUUCUGAGAGGAAGGUCCCCCACAUUGGUACUGAGACACGGACCAA
RNAcentral lists this ribosomal RNA (249 nucleotides) under uncultured bacterium. RNAcentral describes it as "partial 16S ribosomal RNA". It matches the Rfam family "Bacterial small subunit ribosomal RNA", at positions 86 to 334 of the family's 1533-position model. The record is from RNAcentral.